RNAcentral lists this ribosomal RNA (560 nucleotides) under Escherichia coli. RNAcentral describes it as "partial 23S ribosomal RNA". It matches the Rfam family "Bacterial large subunit ribosomal RNA", at positions 1273 to 1818 of the family's 2925-position model. The record is from RNAcentral. Lineage: Bacteria; Pseudomonadati; Pseudomonadota; Gammaproteobacteria; Enterobacterales; Enterobacteriaceae.
CUGGAGGUAUCAGAAGUGCGAAUGCUGACAUAAGUAACGAUAAAGCGGGUGAAAAGCCCGCUCGCCGGAAGACCAAGGGUUCCUGUCCAACGUUAAUCGGGGCAGGGUGAGUCGACCCCUAAGGCGAGGCCGAAAGGCGUAGUCGAUGGGAAACAGGUUAAUAUUCCUGUACUUGGUGUUACUGCGAAGGGGGGACGGAGAAGGCUAUGUUGGCCGGGCGACGGUUGUCCCGGUUUAAGCGUGUAGGCUGGUUUUCCAGGCAAAUCCGGAAAAUCAAGGCUGAGGCGUGAUGACGAGGCACUACGGUGCUGAAGCAACAAAUGCCCUGCUUCCAGGAAAAGCCUCUAAGCAUCAGGUAACAUCAAAUCGUACCCCAAACCGACACAGGUGGUCAGGUAGAGAAUACCAAGGCGCUUGAGAGAACUCGGGUGAAGGAACUAGGCAAAAUGGUGCCGUAACUUCGGGAGAAGGCACGCUGAUAUGUAGGUGAAGUCCCUCGCGGAUGGAGCUGAAAUCAGUCGAAGAUACCAGCUGGCUGCAACUGUUUAUUAAAAACACAG